Molecule: non-coding RNA, 523 nt
Organism: Sphaeramia orbicularis (orbiculate cardinalfish)
Lineage: Eukaryota; Metazoa; Chordata; Actinopteri; Kurtiformes; Apogonidae
Source: the annotation of a RefSeq genome assembly
CUCCAGGUUCACCAGAGGAAACGCCACAGAAUGCUUCUCCUGCUGCCGGCCGCUCUGUGCUGUCUGUGUUCAGCGCUGGUCACCACGGCAACACAGCUGACCCAGGACAAGUUGUUCCUGAGCAAAGGAGUGGAGAAAUCGGUUUCAAUGAGCUGUGGUGGGACAGAGCAGUGUGAUGAAAAAAAGCUUUACUGGUUCCAGAAGAAACACGGACAACCAUUCGAAAUGAUCCUCCAGUACAACUUAGAAAGUGAAAAAUCCAAAAAUCGCAACGACCAUCCUGACAAAGACGACUUCAGCAUCUUGAAGACAGACAGUGGUAUUAAUCUGAUCAUAGCGACGACAAAAGCUGCCCAUUCAGCCACCUACUACUGUGCCUGUUAUAAAGAAGUUCCCCACAGUGAGAAAGAAUGGCGCUAACCUGAACAAAAACCUCCAGAUAUUCAACAGGAUGAAAAACCACAAUCACAUAUUUCUACUUCAUAUCAGAUGUACAAGCAGUGAUCUGAGAGCAGUUUGAAGA